Podarcis muralis (Common wall lizard) is the source of this 1103-nucleotide non-coding RNA. NCBI's taxonomy places the organism in Eukaryota, Metazoa, Chordata, Lepidosauria, Squamata, Lacertidae. The record is from RefSeq and is a predicted model, not a curated record.
UAGGCAGCACUGACUCCUACUGUUCCUGGGAUUAGUGGCUCUGAUUAUUAUAGGGCUUUGCUCCUCCCUCCUGUCUCUGUGGCUGAAACUUCUUGAGUGAGCAAGUCCAGAUGAAAAAUGCAAAUAUUUCUGGGUGGUAUUCAACUAAGUUUUAUGCAGAAUAGGCCCAUUUAAAUCAAUGGACCUAACUUAUUCAUGUUCAUUAAUUUCAGUGGGCCUACUCUGAGUAAACUUCAUUGACUACAAGUUCUGCUUAUAGACGUGGGCUUGGGUGAGCAACUAGCACACUGAUCUGAAUGUUGCUUGUUCUGCUAUAACAUUCCUGUUUGGCCCCGCAAAUCUCAGAGUUUGUGCACAAUAAAUUCCAAUUAAAAAAAUUUAAAAUAAUAUUUGUGAAUUAGGAGCAUAUUAUGUUUUGCUCAGUUUCUUUUGUUUUAGCUUUAGUGGUGAACAGUUGCUGUUUCAAAAUUAUGAAAGGAACAGAAAAUAGUCACUCAUUACAUGGGGCAGUAUUUUGGGAUCCAAGAGCAUGUGUAAACAUCAAAGGUAUGCAGUCCUAUCGACUGCAAUUUAUGUGAUCGCAGAAGGAGCCUCCACAGCAUUAAAGCUCCCCUCCUGGCAGAGGGCAUUGGACAUGCACAUCUGCUGUACCCUAAGCCGCUUCAGCAGUAAAGACGAGGCAGGAAGAGCUCGCAGCAAGAAGUCUCGGUCCAGGAACAAAAAGAAUGUUGCCUUGUGCCAGCUGUGUGGCUAGCACAAAUUAAACAGGGUAAGCCUUUUUCUAGCAUGGGAAUACAAUUAUGGGGAAAGCUUUACGUGAUGACAUUUUAUCCAUCAGACAUAUUAUUAUUUGCAUGUGGCCCCUGAUUUAGUUUUGAAUGAUUCUGUAAAGGAAAUUUUCUAACAUUUAUGUAAGAGACUGGGAUCUACUGGUAGAACACUGGUUUGCAGUACAUAAACAACAGUUUCAGAUUCCCAUUUAUUUCACAAGAGCAACAACACAAUGUCUGAAUUAGGCUGUUGUGCAAAGAAAGCUUGUUGGAAGGAAACAGGAGCAGAUUUUUGUGUAAAAAGACUGAGCUCAGUUAAGAUAAUAAAACAGU